UAGAUACCCGGGUAGUCCACGCCGUAAACGAUGGAUACUAGCUGUCCGGGACCUUGAGUUCUGGGCGGCCAAGCGAAAGUGAUAAGUAUCCCACCUGGGGAGUACGUUCGCAAGAAUGAAACUCAAAGGAAUUGACGGGGGCCCGCACAAGCGGUGGAGCAUGUGGUUUAAUUCGAUGAUACGCGAGGAACCUUACCAGGGCUUAAAUGCAUAUUGACAGGUCUAGAGAUAGACUUUCCUUCGGGCAAUUUGCAAGGUGCUGCAUGGCCGUCGUCAG
This 277-nucleotide ribosomal RNA is filed under the name uncultured bacterium. RNAcentral's name for it is "partial 16S ribosomal RNA". It matches the Rfam family "Bacterial small subunit ribosomal RNA", at positions 779 to 1058 of the family's 1533-position model. The record is from RNAcentral.